This is a long non-coding RNA of Polypterus senegalus (gray bichir), 234 nucleotides long. RefSeq lists it as uncharacterized. The record is from RefSeq and is a predicted model, not a curated record. Lineage: Eukaryota; Metazoa; Chordata; Cladistia; Polypteriformes; Polypteridae. The transcript is spliced from 4 exons.
CAGAAAGUCUAGCUAGAAUAAUCAUCGGUUCAUUUCUGGUGGCCAUUCUUGCAGCAGUGGUUGCAUUUCUUAUUGCAAAUGGCAUCAGGAGGGGACAACUUUGCAGAAAAGUUCCAGAUGUUAAAGCAGAUAUUAAUGAGAGCCCACCCAGCACUUAUGAAAAUGUGCAUAACAUGAAAACAAUGGAUAAACGUCCUUCUCUUCCAAGUCCCAGCACAGAUCACCAUUACAUGG